UAACUUUUAUCAAACCUAAAUCUACCUUCAAGUCUCAUCUCCCUCACUCCUCAUAGAAGUAAAAACCCUAAAUCUCUUAAAUUUUCAUACUUCUCUCAAAGGCAUUUUCUUGAUAUGUUAAGAAACAUUUUUCUUGGUUUGGGAAAAAUACCAAGUUGAAAAAUUGCUACCCAUCUCACCACAAGAUAAAUUUGAGAGCGAUGACCUAGAUAUUCAACGCAAUCAUAUUUUGGGAUGGAUGAAAGAAUUGUGGAACAAAUGGAGAGGACAAUUGCAUGCAAAGUACGUGAGGGAUAAACCAAUCCAAGAGGCUCUUAAGAAUAUACCAAAUGGGGUAGACAAGAAACAAUGGGAGUGGUUGGUAAAAUAACAUUUUUGUACAGAAAGUUUUCAGGCAAAAAGCAACAGGAAUGCAACAAAUAGAGCUAAGUUGAAGAUGCCUCAACAUAUCGGCAGCAAGCUAUUAGAGAAGUUAUUUAUCAAAAGGCUCAAAUUCAAGAAUUGGUGCAGUCCAAACCAUCUCUUUCCAAUAUAGAGAUAGUGGAAAAAUGCUUUGGACCUCAUACUCGUAGUCAUGUAUUUGGUUUUGGGAGUGGAGUAAAAGCAAAAGACUUAAAAGAUGGUGGUUCCUCAAAGGCCGAAUUAAGAUCCGAGUUACGUUCUGCUCUAGAGUAAAACGAGUCAUUGAAGGAUUGGUUGUCUACCGUAGAAAAUGAGGUGAAAGAACUGAAGGAACUAAAAGAAUUUUUCUUGAUCCAACAGUCUAAUGUCCACCCUCCGGUGGCUCAACACGCUAAUGUCCAGCCUUCGGCAUCACCAUAUUAGGAGAAUGACCAUUGAUAAAUAUACCAAGUUAGUAACAACUUACUCAUUUCAAAUAUCAUUUAGUUAGUAAAUAUUUGAAUGCAAUACCUGAUGUCUAGCAUCGUGCUUCUCUUUUAAGUGGAUUGAUGUGUUCUAUGUUGUUGUAACUGUCAUACAGGAAAUGUUAUGUUGCUGCAACUAGUAAAAUCCCUCUUGUCUUUUAGAUUUUCACUCCUCGUUUACAUUGCUAUUUUAUUUUUGAAGUGUAUAUAUAUUACACUUGGUGAAUUUGGACACCUUUUCAGGUUUUGGAGGCUAUCAAGAUGUGGGUUUUAAAGACAUACAAUCAGUAGACUUUUUCUUUGCUAGGAAUGUUGGACAAAAUAUCAUAUUAAUUUUAGGGAUGUUAGAUAGAAGUACUUUUGCUAAAGGGGUGUCCAAAAAAUAUUUCACCAUGGUUGUACAAUGCUACUAAUUUUUUGUCAGUAAUUAUUAUAUAUGAAACCAUAUCUUUCUUUAUUA
Nicotiana tabacum (common tobacco) is the source of this 1326-nucleotide non-coding RNA. The record is from RefSeq and is a predicted model, not a curated record. NCBI's taxonomy places the organism in Eukaryota, Viridiplantae, Streptophyta, Magnoliopsida, Solanales, Solanaceae.